AACUUGCAACAAUGUAUCUCUUGGCUCUCGCAUCGAUUAAGAACGCAGCGAAAUGUGAUAAGUAAUGUGAAUUGCAGAAUUCAGUGAAUCAUCGAAUCUUUGAACGCACCUUGCGCUCCUUGGUAUUCCGAGGAGCAUGUCUGUUUGAGUGUCAUGAACUCUUCAACCCUCCAUUUCCUCGUUUGAAAUGUUUGAGGUGAUUGGAUUUUGAGUACUUGCUCUUUUAUCAAAAUUAGCUUACUCGUAAUACAUUAGCACAAUUCAACUUCGAACUCGGAUUGACUCGGCGUAAUAGACUAUUCGCUGAGGACAUUGAGAAUUAAUUUUCUCUAAUGGCCGACUUUAGACGAUUUGAAUAGCUUCAAAUACUAUUAAACCUUUUUUAAGAUUAGACCUCAAAUCAGGCAGGAUUACCCGCUGAACUUAAGCAUAUCAAUAAGCGGAGGCU
This 448-nucleotide unclassified non-coding RNA is filed under the name uncultured fungus. Its description in RNAcentral is "sequence contains ITS2". The stretch from base 1 to 154 matches the Rfam family "5.8S ribosomal RNA". The record is from RNAcentral. Lineage: Eukaryota; Fungi.